GAUGAACGCUGGCGGCGUGCCUAAUACAUGCAAGUCGAGCGAACAGACGAGGAGCUUGCUCCUCUGACGUUAGCGGCGGACGGGUGAGUAACACGUGGAUAACCUACCUAUAAGACUGGGAUAACUUCGGGAAACCGGAGCUAAUACCGGAUAACAUGUUAAACCGCAUGGUUCAACAGUGAAAGACGGUUUUGCUGUCACUUAUAGAUGGAUCCGCGCCGCAUUAGCUAGUUGGUAAGGUAACGGCUUACCAAGGCAACGAUGCGUAGCCGACCUGAGAGGGUGAUCGGCCACACUGGAACUGAGACACGGUCCAGACUCCUACGGGAGGCAGCAGUAGGGAAUCUUCCGCAAUGGGCGAAAGCCUGACGGAGCAACGCCGCGUGAGUGAAGAAGGUCUUCGGAUCGUAAAACUCUGUUAUUAGGGAAGAACAAAUGUGUAAGUAACUAUGCACGUCUUGACGGUACCUAAUCAGAAAGCCACGGCUAACUACGUG
RNAcentral lists this ribosomal RNA (497 nucleotides) under uncultured bacterium. Its description in RNAcentral is "partial 16S ribosomal RNA". It matches the Rfam family "Bacterial small subunit ribosomal RNA", at positions 28 to 507 of the family's 1533-position model. The record is from RNAcentral.